RNAcentral lists this ribosomal RNA (492 nucleotides) under uncultured bacterium. RNAcentral's name for it is "partial 16S ribosomal RNA". It matches the Rfam family "Bacterial small subunit ribosomal RNA", at positions 29 to 507 of the family's 1533-position model. The record is from RNAcentral.
AGUGAACGCUGGCGGUAGGCCUAACACAUGCAAGUCGAACGGCAGCACAGUAAGCGCUUGCCCUUACGGGUGGCGAGUGGCGGACGGGUGAGGAGUACAUCGGAAUCUACUUUUUCGUGGGGGAUAACGUAGGGAAACUUACGCUAAUACCGCAUACGACCUACGGGUGAAAGCAGGGGAUCAUCGGACCUUUCGCGAUUGUAUGAGCCGAUGUCGGAUUAGCUAGUUGGCGGGGUAAAGGCCCACCAAGGCGACGAUCCGUAGCUGGUCUGAGAGGAUGAUCAGCCACACUGGAACUGAGACACGGUCCAGACUCCUACGGGAGGCAGCAGUGGGGAAUAUUGGACAAUGGGCGAAAGCCUGAUCCAGCCAUGCCGCGUGGGUGAAGAAGGCCUUCGGGUUGUAAAGCCCUUUUGUUGGGAAAGAAAAGCAGCAGGUUAAUACCUCGCUGUUCUGACGGUACCCAAAGAAUAAGCACCGGCUAACUUCGUG